AGCGGUUAAGGUGUUUGGCUGCUAACCAGAAUGCUGGUGGUUCAAAUCUACCAGCUGCUC
Molecule: transfer RNA, 60 nt
Filed under: Loxodonta africana (African savanna elephant)
Lineage: Eukaryota; Metazoa; Chordata; Mammalia; Proboscidea; Elephantidae
Rfam family: tRNA
About the family: Transfer RNA (tRNA) molecules are approximately 80 nucleotides in length. Their secondary structure includes four short double-helical elements and three loops (D, anti-codon, and T loops). Further hydrogen bonds mediate the characteristic L-shaped molecular structure. tRNAs have two regions of fundamental functional importance: the anti-codon, which is responsible for specific mRNA codon recognition, and the 3' end, to which the tRNAs corresponding amino acid is attached (by aminoacyl-tRNA synthetases). tRNAs cope with the degeneracy of the genetic code in two manners: having more than one tRNA (with a specific anti-codon) for a particular amino acid; and 'wobble' base-pairing, i.e. permitting non-standard base-pairing at the 3rd anti-codon position.
Source: Rfam by way of RNAcentral